RNAcentral lists this unclassified non-coding RNA (218 nucleotides) under plant metagenome. Its description in RNAcentral is "partial contains small subunit ribosomal RNA, internal transcribed spacer 1, and 5.8S ribosomal RNA". The record is from RNAcentral.
UCUCCGUUGGUGAACCAGCGGAGGGAUCAUUACCGAAGUUACCCUUCAAAACCCAUUGUGAACCAUACCUCUUGCCGCGUUGUCUCGGCGGGAGGCGCUGGGGCCUCGGCUCCGCGUCCCCGCCGGCAGCGCCAAACUCUAAACUGCAAGGCGUACUGCAUGUUCUGAUUUACAAAAAAAACAAGUUAAAACUUUCAACAACGGAUCUCUUGGUUCUG